CCUACGGGAUGCAGCAGUGAGGAAUAUUGGUCAAUGGGCUUACGCCUGAACCAGCCAAGUCGCGUGAGGGAAGACUGCCCUACGGGUUGUAAACCUCUUUUGUCAGGGAGCAACGCCGGCUACGUGUAGCCGGACUGAGAGUACCUGAAGAAACAGCAUCGGCUAACUCCGUGCCAGCAGCCGCGGUAAUACGGAGGAUGCGAGCUUUAUCCGGAUUUAUGGGGUUUAAAGGGUGCGUAGGCGGAAUGACAAGUCAGCGGUAAAAUCGCGGGGCUCAACCUCGCUCCGCCGUUGAAACUGGCGUUCUUGAGUGGGCGAGAAGUAUGCGGAAUGCGUGGUGUAGCGGUGAAAUGCAUAGAUAUCACGCAGAACUCCGAUUGCGAAGGCAGCAUACCGGCGCCCAACUGACGCUGAAGCACGAAAGCGUGGGUAUCGAACAGGAUUAGAUACCCCGGUAGUC
Molecule: ribosomal RNA, 460 nt
Filed under: uncultured bacterium
Lineage: Bacteria
Description: partial 16S ribosomal RNA
Rfam family: Bacterial small subunit ribosomal RNA
Source: RNAcentral